This 448-nucleotide ribosomal RNA is filed under the name uncultured bacterium. RNAcentral describes it as "bacterial SSU rRNA". It matches the Rfam family "Bacterial small subunit ribosomal RNA", at positions 30 to 464 of the family's 1533-position model. The record is from RNAcentral.
AUUGAACGCUGGCGGCAGGCCUAACACAUGCAAGUCGAGCGGAAACGAGUUAACUGACCCUUCGGGUGACGUUAACGGCGUCGAGCGGCGGACGGGUGAGUAAUGCCUGGGAAAUUGCCCUGAUGUGGGGGAUAACCAUUGGAAACGAUGGCUAAUACCGCAUAAUGCCUUCGGGCCAAAGAGGGGGACCUUCGGGCCUCUCGCGUCAGGAUAUGCCCAGGUGGGAUUAGCUAGUUGGUGAGGUAAUGGCUCACCAAGGCGACGAUCCCUAGCUGGUCUGAGAGGAUGAUCAGCCACACUGGAACUGAGACACGGUCCAGACUCCUACGGGAGGCAGCAGUGGGGAAUAUUGCACAAUGGGCGCAAGCCUGAUGCAGCCAUGCCGCGUGUGUGAAGAAGGCCUUCGGUUGUAAGCACUUCUAGCAGUGAGGAAGGCGGGUACGGUUAA